RNAcentral lists this ribosomal RNA (492 nucleotides) under uncultured bacterium. RNAcentral describes it as "partial 16S ribosomal RNA". It matches the Rfam family "Bacterial small subunit ribosomal RNA", at positions 29 to 507 of the family's 1533-position model. The record is from RNAcentral.
AUUGAACGCUGGCGGCAUGCUUUACACAUGCAAGUCGAACGGUAACAGGCCUUCGGGUGCUGACGAGUGGCGAACGGGUGAGUAAUGCAUCGGAACGUACCCAGAGGUGGGGGAUAACGCAGCGAAAGCUGUGCUAAUACCGCAUGUGAUCUGAGGAUGAAAGCGGGGGACCGAGCAGCAAUGUUUGGCCUCGCGCCUUUGGAGCGGCCGAUGUCGGAUUAGCUAGUUGGUGGGGUAAAGGCCUACCAAGGCGACGAUCCGUAGCUGGUCUGAGAGGACGACCAGCCACACUGGGACUGAGACACGGCCCAGACUCCUACGGGAGGCAGCAGUAGGGAAUUUUGGACAAUGGGCGCAAGCCUGAUCCAGCAAUGCCGCGUGCGGGAAGAAGGCCUUCGGGUUGUAAACCGCUUUUGGCAGGAACGAAACGGUGUCCGCUAAUACCGGGCGCUAAUGACGGUACCUGCAGAAUAAGCACCGGCUAACUACGUG